This 253-nucleotide ribosomal RNA is filed under the name uncultured bacterium. RNAcentral's name for it is "partial 16S ribosomal RNA". It matches the Rfam family "Bacterial small subunit ribosomal RNA", at positions 524 to 776 of the family's 1533-position model. The record is from RNAcentral.
UACGGAGGAUCCAAGCGUUAUCCGGAUUUAUUGGGUUUAAAGGGUGCGUAGGCGGCCUGUUAAGUCAGGGGUGAAAGACGGUAGCUCAACUAUCGCAGUGCCCUUGAUACUGAUGGGCUUGAAUGGACUAGAGGUAGGCGGAAUGAGACAAGUAGCGGUGAAAUGCAUAGAUAUGUCUCAGAACACCGAUUGCGAAGGCAGCUUACUAUGGUUUAAUUGACGCUGAGGCACGAAAGCGUGGGGAUCAAACAGG